Molecule: ribosomal RNA, 433 nt
Filed under: uncultured bacterium
Lineage: Bacteria
Description: partial 16S ribosomal RNA
Rfam family: Bacterial small subunit ribosomal RNA
Source: RNAcentral
AAUGAACGCUGGCGGCAGGCCUAACACAUGCAAGUCGAGCGGACCCUUCGGGGUUAGCGGCGGACGGGUGAGUAACGCGUGGGAAUAUGCCCUUCUCUACGGAAUAGUCCUGGGAAACUGGGGGUAAUACCGUAUACGCCCUUUGGGGGCAAGAUUUAUCGGGGUAGGAUUAGCCCGCGUUGGAUUAGGUUGUUGGUGGGGUAAUGGCCUACCACGCCGACGAUCCAUAGCUGGUUUGAGAGACAGGUCAGCCACACUGAGACUGAGACGCGGCCCAGAAUCUUACGCGAUGGAGCAAAGGGGGAUCUUGGAAAAUGGGGGCAACGCUGAUGGAGCCCUGCCGGGUGAGUGCUGAAGGCCUUAAAGAAGUAAAGCUCUUUCAGCUGGGAAGGUAAUGACGGUACCAGCAGAAGAAGCCCCGGCUAACUCCGUG